UACGUAGGGUACAAGCGUUGUCCGGAAUGAUUGGGCGUAAAGCGUCCGCAGGUGGCUAUGUAAGUCUGCUGUUAAAGAGUGAGGCUCAACCUCAUAAGAGCAGUGGAAACUACAUGGCUAGAGUGCGUUCGGGGCAGAGGGAAUUCCUGGUGUAGCGGUGAAAUGCGUAGAGAUCAGGAAGAACACCGGUGGCGAAAGCGCUCUGCUAGGCCGCAACUGACACUGAGGGACGAAAGCUAGGGGAGCGAAUGGG
RNAcentral lists this ribosomal RNA (253 nucleotides) under uncultured bacterium. RNAcentral's name for it is "partial 16S ribosomal RNA". It matches the Rfam family "Bacterial small subunit ribosomal RNA", at positions 524 to 776 of the family's 1533-position model. The record is from RNAcentral.